CCUACGGGAGUCAGCAGUGGGGGAUAUUGCACAAUGGGGGGAACCCUGAUGCAGCGACGCCGCGUGGGUGAAGAAGCGCCUCGGCGCGUAAAGCCCUGUCAGCAGGGAAGAAAAUGACGGUACCUGAAGAAGAAGCCCCGGCUAACUACGUGCCAGCAGCCGCGGUAAUACGUAGGGGGCAAGCGUUAUCCGGAUUUACGGGGUGGAAAGGGGGCGCAGACGGCGAUGCAAGCCAGGAGUGAAAGCCCGGGGCCCAACCCCGGGACUGUGCUUGGAACUGCGUGGCUGGAGUGCAGGAGGGGCAGGCGGAAUUCCUGGUGGAGCGGUGAAAUGCGUAGAUAUCAGGAGGAACCCCGGUGGCGAAGGCGGCCUGCUGGACUGCAACUGACGUUGAGGCCCGAAAGCGUGGGGAGCAAACAGGAUUAGAUACCCCAGUAGUC
RNAcentral lists this ribosomal RNA (440 nucleotides) under uncultured bacterium. Its description in RNAcentral is "partial 16S ribosomal RNA". It matches the Rfam family "Bacterial small subunit ribosomal RNA", at positions 338 to 795 of the family's 1533-position model. The record is from RNAcentral.